RNAcentral lists this long non-coding RNA (391 nucleotides) under Cyanistes caeruleus (blue tit). RNAcentral describes it as "lncRNA (ENSCCEG00000002964.1)". The record is from RNAcentral. Lineage: Eukaryota; Metazoa; Chordata; Aves; Passeriformes; Paridae.
GCUGGUUACACACGUGGGUUGACUUGCCCAUGUGUGUAAAAUCUCACUUGCCUGAUCAUAUGGUUGAGCUUUAAGGAACCUUUAUUGCACCAGUAAGAGGUAAAGUGCAUAUAACCACCUAAUAAUAAAAAAAGGAGAUGAGGGAGAUGUGGAGAGAUGAAGAACAGAAAGGAGGUUCUUCUGGUAUGUUCAUUCCACUACUUUUCAAGAAAGGGAAAGCCUUUUUCUUCCCACUCAAAUCACAUCUCUGGACAGUCCUAGUAGAAAAAUGUGAAUUUAGAGAUAUGUCAGACAGUCAGUAUGACUGAACUAAGGACAAGGAUUCUGAACUAGUACAAGGCAUCUGUGACUUCUCACAAAACUCACCUGUGUAGAUGUGUUUUCAAACUGU